GAUGCAGAAAUGGGUAUGAAAAUCGAUGUGAGUCAUGGGUGAGCAAGCGAGUGGAUAAAUUCAUGGACAAGCAAGGGAAUUCUCGCGGACUCCUCACAGCCAACGUGUGGCAGGAAUUAUUAUUAUCCCAACAUUCUCCAGAGGAGGAAACCCAGGCUCAGAGUGGCUGCUGCUGCACUGGCCUCCUCCCUGGAUUCCUCGCCGCAGAUCUGUCCUACACAGGGUUCCAGAGGAGUCAUCCUAACACCAUCUGACCCUGUCCCUCUCAUGCUCAAAACAUAUUUGUAGCUUUCAUCACCCUCAUGACGUGGAUACUGCUGAGUUCUCCAGACACUUCACUCCAGAGUGCAGCUAUUGUGAGAAACGACUCUUUGUUCCCCAAAUAAGCCUCAGAAUCUGGAUAUGGGGCCUCAACACAUGCUCCAACUUGGACUAGAAUGUCCUUCUCUCUUGUCUCAGUUAACUCUGUCCCUCAGGUCUCAGUGCAGAAGUCACCUCCACCACGAAGCCUCCUCUGUCUGACCCUCUGUUUUAAACUUUUUCUUACUGUAAA
This is a long non-coding RNA of Gorilla gorilla gorilla (western lowland gorilla), 553 nucleotides long. RefSeq lists it as uncharacterized. The record is from RefSeq and is a predicted model, not a curated record. NCBI's taxonomy places the organism in Eukaryota, Metazoa, Chordata, Mammalia, Primates, Hominidae. The transcript has 2 exons.